UUCCAGGGUAACCCUUAGAGUUCUGUAAUCUUUCCUUAAGAUUAAUUUUCUAGCUGGCAUGAUCCCAGAAUACAGUCUUCUAUGCAAAAGUUUCUUGAGUGGUGCCUGCCCCAACUUGCAAGAAAUUGCUUUGAUUUUAUACUCAAGUUCAAGAUUUCAGGGAUCCAGACCUCUCCAGAAAAGGAAAAUUUUCUAAGCAGUGAACUUUCUAAAGUCAUCAUUCUGAAUGGGAAAGCUUCACCUGUGAGGUGCCAGAUGUAUGGUGAUAGCCACCGUUCAUGGGAGAGCUGCUUCUCACCUGUCAGAGGGAAAGGGAAGACUAAUUUACUGUCUGCCAUAAAAACCAGUCAGGCACAUUUAAGCUUUGGACGGUGCUAUCAUGGAACCAUCAUGCAUGUGGUGAUCAAUGAAAGCUUGUGUCAUGUAUCCUGUGGCUUCCCUUGGAUUCUCAUCUCUCACCAGGACAUGCUGUGAAGUUUUGUCAGUUCUCUUCCUGGGAAGGCACUCUUUGGCCUUCACAAUAUAAAUGAUGUCUCAUUCUCUUUCUGAAUUGCUUCUUUUCUUCUUGUCUUAUCAUUGUUUCUAAUAGUAUUUGCAGGCUUUGGGCAGAAUGAAGUGGCAGGCUUGACCUUGUUCUCUUUCAUUCCCCAUCCCCGAUAACCUCAACUCCCUCCCCUAUGAAUGGCAUAGGAACUUUAGAUCCUGAAGCAGAAACCUUAGCAAAUGAAUAAAAGGGUAGGACUUGGAAGGACA
RNAcentral lists this long non-coding RNA (753 nucleotides) under Monodelphis domestica (gray short-tailed opossum). RNAcentral describes it as "lncRNA (ENSMODG00000032834.2)". Lineage: Eukaryota; Metazoa; Chordata; Mammalia; Didelphimorphia; Didelphidae. The record is from RNAcentral.